Molecule: long non-coding RNA, 1610 nt
Filed under: Sus scrofa (pig)
Lineage: Eukaryota; Metazoa; Chordata; Mammalia; Artiodactyla; Suidae
Description: lncRNA (ENSSSCG00065073894.1)
Source: RNAcentral
UCCGAGCCUGGGCUAAGGAUGGGAGGCGGUCCGCUGGCACCGGGUUGGCGGGAACCUGAUCCGGAGAAGGAACGUGCGUGAGAGCGAGCGCAGGCGACUGACAGAGGAACCGACAGCAGACGGAGGGAGAGUUCUCCCUAGGACCAGACCGGAGGCGUGACUGCUGAAUCCACUUUCUCCCCACACACAACGUCCAGUGAUGUGCACCCAGCAAGCGCCCGUGGGAUCCUUCUGAACGGAAGAAAUUCUGCUCUCUGUCAGCCUGUGCUGUUAGGUGUCCCCAGGAAACCCACGCGUCUUCUGCGGACAGACCUGGCUCGAGAACAGGUACGUUUAUUGGAUUCCGAACUUGUGGUCGCAUCAGGGAGCGCGGCAGCUCACCUGACCCUGCCAGGCUUGUCUCCCAGCCGGAGGGUCGAAGGAAGGGCUUUUCCUCCUGAAGGUCAAAGGUCUAAAUUCAGACAGUCAUUUGGGGUGUGUUUAGCAAGGGUAACGUGGCAUUCCACGUUUAUUGACCCUUUACCAGGUAUCAGGCAGUAUUCUCCAUGUGUCUCUCUAUCCCCUGAUCUAAUCCCCUCUCACAGACCCCUCGUUUUGCAAGGUUUCCGUGCUCAUUGCCAAGGCGAGAAAGUGGAAUACGGAGAGGUUGGGGGACCCGCUCUGAGUCACACAGGCCAUCAGAGGAGGAGGGACACCCAGACGUAUGCAUCCAGGACUCAGAGCCCACACACUUGACUUUUGAAGUUAAAGUUGACAUGGGGUACUAUAUUCCUUUUAGGUGCACAGAAAGGUGCACAGUGUGUUUAUACAUUAUGAAAUGAGGACCACGAUGAGUAUGGCCACCAUCUGUCACCAUGCAGACUUAUCACAAUAUUGUGGACUCUCUCUCCCGCAUUGUAUGUUCCGUUCCCCUGAUUUAUGUAGUUUAUGACUGGAAGUCUGUAUCUCUUAACCCCCUUCCCCUCUGGCAGCCACCGGUUAGUUAGAUAUGGAAGUACCUCUGACUCUGUUUCCGCUUUGUUCUCUGUGUUCGCUUGAUUUAUUUUUGAGGUUCCAUAUGGAAGUGUAAUCAUGUGCUAUAUGGCUUUCCUCCCUGUCUGACUUAUUUCCCUUAGCAUAAUGCCCUCUAGGUCCUUCCGUGUUGCUGCGAAUGGCAUGAUGUCAUUCUUUUUUUACGGCUGAGGAACAUUCCAUCAUGUAUAUGUACACACACGCACGAACGCACAACACUUUUUUGUCCAUUCAUCCAUCAGUAGGCACUUAGGUUGCUGCUAUAUCUUGGCUCUUGUGAAUAAUGCUGCAGUGAACAGAGGAGUACAUAUAUCUUUUCUGAUUUCUUAUUUGUUGUUGUUGUUUUGUUUUGUUUUCUUUAGAUAAACACCAAGAAGCAGAACUGCUGGAUCAUAUGGUAGUUCUAGUUUUUCUCUGUCGAGGAAACCCCAUACUAUUCUCUACAGUGUCUACACCAAUUUAUAUUCCCACCAACAGUGCAUGACGGCUCCCUUUUUUUCCUCAUCCUCGCCAAGAUUUCCCCUUCGUUGUCUGCUUCAAUAAUAGCCAGUUAAUAGGCAGGAGGAAAUAUCUCGUUGUGGUCUUGACUUUUCUUUUCC